This 482-nucleotide ribosomal RNA is filed under the name uncultured bacterium. Its description in RNAcentral is "partial 16S ribosomal RNA". It matches the Rfam family "Bacterial small subunit ribosomal RNA", at positions 30 to 507 of the family's 1533-position model. The record is from RNAcentral.
AUUGAACGCUGGCGGCAUGCUUUACACAUGCAAGUCGAACGGUAACAGGCCGCAAGGUGCUGACGAGUGGCGAACGGGUGCGUAAUGCAUCGGAACGUGCCCAGUCGUGGGGGAUAACUACUCGAAAGAGUAGCUAAUACCGCAUACGAUCUAUGGAUGAAAGCGGGGGACCGUAAGGCCUCGCGCGAUUGGAGCGGCCGAUGUCAGAUUAGGUAGUUGGUGGGGUAAAGGCUCACCAAGCUAACGAUCUGUAGCUGGUCUGAGAGGACGACCAGCCACACUGGGACUGAGACACGGCCCAGACUCCUACGGGAGGCAGCAGUGGGGAAUUUUGGACAAUGGGCGCAAGCCUGAUCCAGCAAUGCCGCGUGCAGGAAGAAGGCCUUCGGGUUGUAAACUGCUUUUGUACGGAACGAAACGGCUCUGGUUAAUACCCGGGGCUAAUGACGGUACCGUAAGAAUAAGCACCGGCUAACUACGUG